Molecule: transfer RNA, 84 nt
Filed under: Eubacteriales bacterium
Lineage: Bacteria; Bacillati; Bacillota; Clostridia; Eubacteriales
Description: tRNA-Leu
Rfam family: tRNA
About the family: Transfer RNA (tRNA) molecules are approximately 80 nucleotides in length.
Source: RNAcentral
GUCCGGGUGCGAAACUGGGAAACGGGCAUGACUAAGAAUCAUGUGCUCUUAAUGAGCUUGCGGGUUCAAAUCCCGCUCCGGACA